CAAGUCGAACGUGAAAGCCCGCAAGGGUGAGUAAAGUGGCGAAAGGGUGAGUAAUAUAUCGAUAACCUACCCUUGAGACGGGAACAACAGCUCGAAAGGGCUGCUAAUACCCGAUGGUUCUGGGUUGAUGCAAUCUUCCCAGCUAAACGGUGGGUCCUUCGGGACCUUCUGCUCGAGGAGGGGUCGAUAUCCUAUCAGCUAGUUGGCGGGAUAACAGCCCACCAAGGCUUUGACGGGUAGCCGGACUGAGAGGUCGACCGGUCACACUGGCACUGAGACACUGGCCAGACUCCUACGGGAGGCUGCAGUCGAGAAUCUUCCGCAAUGGGCGAAAGCCUGACGGAGCGACGCCGCGUGCAGGAUGAAGGCCCUCGGGUUGUAAACUGCUGUCAAAUGUUAGGAAUGGUUAGUCGCGAAUAACGGCUAACUUGACAAAGGCAUGAGAGGAAGUCACGGCUAACUUCGUGCCAGCAGCCGCGGUAAGACGAAGGUGGCAAGCGUUGCUCGGAAUCACUGGGCAUAAAGCGCGCGUAGGUGGCUUGAUAAGUCGAUGGUGAAAUCCCAUGGCUCAACCAUGGAACUGCCAGCGAUACUGUCAGGCUUGAGGACGGUAGGGGAGAGUGGAACUCCUGGUGUAGCGGUGAAAUGCGUAGAUAUCAGGAGGAACGCCGGUGGCGAAAGCGACUCUCUGGGCCGCUCCUGACACUGAUGCGCGAGAGCUAGGGGAGCAAACAGGAUUAGAUACCCUGGUAGUCCUAGCUGUAAACGAUGGGCACUAGGUAGAGGUGGUUUCGAAACCUUCUCUGCCGGAGCUAAUGUGUUAAGUGCCCGCCCUGGGGAGUAUGGUCGCAAGGCUAAAACUCAAAGGAAUUGACGGGGGCUCACACAAGCGGUGGA
This 897-nucleotide ribosomal RNA is filed under the name uncultured Bacillota bacterium. RNAcentral's name for it is "bacterial SSU rRNA". It matches the Rfam family "Bacterial small subunit ribosomal RNA", at positions 58 to 936 of the family's 1533-position model. The record is from RNAcentral. Lineage: Bacteria; Bacillati; Bacillota.